GACGAACCGUGCAAACGUUAUUCGGGAUCACUGGGCAUAAAGGGCGCGUAGGCGGCUUCCUAAGUCAGGGGUGAAAUCCGGCAGCUCAACUGUCGCAGUGCCUUUGAUACUGGGAAGCUCGAGGGAUGUAGGGGUCUGUGGAACUUCCGGUGGAGCGGUGAAAUGCGUUGAUAUCGGAAGGAACGCCGGUGGCGAAAGCGACGGACUGGACAUCUUCUGACGCUGAGGCGCGAAAGCCAGGGGAGCAAACGGG
This 253-nucleotide ribosomal RNA is filed under the name uncultured bacterium. Its description in RNAcentral is "partial 16S ribosomal RNA". It matches the Rfam family "Bacterial small subunit ribosomal RNA", at positions 524 to 776 of the family's 1533-position model. The record is from RNAcentral.